This 413-nucleotide ribosomal RNA is filed under the name uncultured Methanocalculus sp. RNAcentral describes it as "bacterial SSU rRNA". It matches the Rfam family "Archaeal small subunit ribosomal RNA", at positions 330 to 747 of the family's 1478-position model. The record is from RNAcentral. Lineage: Archaea; Methanobacteriati; Methanobacteriota; Methanomicrobia; Methanomicrobiales; Methanocalculaceae.
GUGCACCAGGCGCGAAAACUUUACAAUGCGAGCAAUCGUGAUAAGGAAACCCUGAGUGCCUGUCAAUGCAGGCUGUUCUGGUGUCUAACACACACCAGGAGAAAGGGCGGGGCAAGACCGGUGCCAGCCGCCGCGGUAAUACCGGCUGCUCGAGUGAUAGCCACUUUUACUGGGCUUAAAGCGUUCGUAGCUUGGUCGUUAAGUCUCUGGGGAAAUCUUUUGGCUCAACCAAAAGGCGUCUCAGGGAUACUGGCGAUCUUGGAACCGGGAGAGGUAAGACGUACUUCGGGGGUAGGAGUGAAAUCUUGUAAUCCCCGAGGGACGACCGAUGGCGAAGGCAUCUUACCAGAACGGCUUCGACAGUGAGGGACGAAAGCUGGGGGAGCAAACCGGAUUAGAUACCCCCGUAGUCC